This 1130-nucleotide long non-coding RNA is filed under the name Monodelphis domestica (gray short-tailed opossum). Its description in RNAcentral is "lncRNA (ENSMODG00000030244.2)". Lineage: Eukaryota; Metazoa; Chordata; Mammalia; Didelphimorphia; Didelphidae. The record is from RNAcentral.
AUUUUGGAAGGCAGGCUAGCAAAGAAGUCAGAUGGCUCUCUGGGAUGUCUGGUUCCCUCGGUGAGAGAGAAUCAUGUACUAGACUGUGUUGCAAGAUGUUUCAAGUCUUGGACAUUGGUUACACAAAAGAUUGAACAGUGAUAUAUUUGCCUCACAGUAGCAGCAACAGCUACAUCCUUGAUAACCCAUUCUGAGUCCUCUUUCAAGCGUAGGAGAAAUGAUCCAAACUGGGAUUUUUAAAAUUCAAAUAUUGUGCUUAUUACAAUAUUCCAAGACCUUAUAGAAGAACUCAAACUUCCUUUAAGGAACCAAAACAUGUCUACUUAGUAUCUAAUGUAUGCAAAAACCUAUGCUAAGUAGGCAUAAAAUGUGGAGCAUUGCAAAAAGUCUCAUUACAGUUGUAAGCUUUAAACUUAAUAAAUUAAAAGUGCUCUGAAACUCUUUAGGAUAUCCUGUACUGAGAGGACACAUUCCUUUUUUCAGCCAAAAAGGGUGGGGAAAGAUGUACUUGUUCAAUAGACUCUGACCCUUCGUGAUCCUGUCUGGUGUUUUCUAGGCAGAGAUUCCUUCUCCAGCUUAUUUUACACAGGAGGAAACUGAGGCAACAGGGGAGAACCUGGAGCAUCUCCCCAACCAUAGGGAAUUCAUCUUUCCUUUGGAAUUUGUGCUGGACUGCCUCCCUGACAGUGGCCAACACCUUUAAUGAGAAGCUUGGAGGAUCUUGGACUAGUACUUCACCUUGGAGAUACAACUUGGGACUUUGACCUGGGACUCUGGAUGGUGGACUUCUUCUGGGUCCUUGAGAACUGCAGGCAUCCGAAAUUUCAUCACAACCUCCUGAGGAGCUUCUCUGAAUUUAGCUCAUCUGGAUUCCAAGACAACAGACCUGUAGAUCAUUGCCAAGGUCAUCUUUGGAACUUCUCUAGCUUGAUGGAGACUUCCAAAGUUUGCCCUGUCUCAGAAAAACCUUCAAGAAUCCAUGGCCACUUCAACCCCCCCAAUAAGGUUUUUGGGGAAGAUAUUAAUGGAAAAUAAUUUAAAGGGUAUUCUAAAGUGUUAUGUGUUAUUAUUGUGAUUGACCAUAAUUAUCAACAUUAAACCAGAUUUGUCUAACUUCUGUAUCUGUUUGA